Molecule: long non-coding RNA, 1644 nt
Organism: Antechinus flavipes (yellow-footed antechinus)
Lineage: Eukaryota; Metazoa; Chordata; Mammalia; Dasyuromorphia; Dasyuridae
Exons: 3
Source: RefSeq, a predicted model, not a curated record
CCUUGAAACCCUUAAAGUAACAUUCCAAUUACUCACAUAACUUUGGGACUUUCUGUGAAGGGUGGUAGUCUUAAAGUUCUCCAGACUGGGAACAUGGCCACUGUUCCAAGGCAUCUCUAACCAUGGGCGAUCUCUUUUGAGUUUUAGAAGUCCCUCAAUCCAUGUUCUCAGUAAGUUCAGAAUAGACCUUUUCUGGUGUUCCUGUGGGUUUUAGAGCCAUCCAGAGAGAACGGUUCUACCCCGUUCUGUCCUUCAUUUCAUUCUCUUUGGGCUUCUGCCUUCCAGUCUGCUCCGCAGUGAAGCUUUCCUGCCUUGCUGCCAUGGCCCACAAUUGAGAAAGUGUUUCUGGGACACUGGAGGCUGGUUCUUCUUUCCAGGGUUCCCAUGGGCCUCCAUCACUGCUGCAUGGACCACGGAUGGGCCUCCAUCACUGCUGCAUGUUGGCUAAGGCCGUGGAUGCCGAAGAAGAAGGAAGAAAUGGAGCCCCAAGAAGUGAUGCAUUUUGUCCAAGGCAGCUGGAUUUAAAAAGCUGGAACCCCACACCCACCCAUCAAGGCUCCCCAGGAGCCCCACCCUCCCAGGCCUCUCUGCAACAAGCAGGAGGAAAUGCCGUCUUGCCCAACGGAGCCUCCAAGGACUGAAGGUGAAGGAGCUUUGGUCAGGACGGGACUGCCCCGUCUUCCUGCUGGGGUCCCUGCCAACCUCCAGCCCGGAUGCUCUGUCCACGCUUUGAAGGCCACCCAGGGAGCCAACAGCCCCAGACCGACCUUCCCUCACAAUGUGAGCGCCAGAGGUAUCUCAGGGUGGCCAACAGCCCCGGGAAGCAGCGGGGUAGAGACGAGAAACCCUCACUCGUAUCCUGCUUCUGACCCGCAGGCACAUCGGGUACCGACGUACCCUCAUCUGUGAAAUGGGCAUAACCACACUGUUGUUAGGCUAAAAUGGGACCGUGUAUAUUGUGCCGAGGUCCUAAAUGGUGUGUUUUUGACAGAGAGAAACCAAAGAAGUGAUCCCUGAGGCGGGCAACCAGAAGGCUCUGAUAGGGAUCGGUUUAGCUCCACGGUUCCCCCUCUGGGGAGGUCAUGAGAUCCAAGUUAUGUCAGGCCCCUGAGACACACCCUCCGGAGAGGCUCCCCGCCGUCCAGCCUUGCCAUGGCCUGAAGGAAAUCCCAGUCAUGGCUCUGAGGUUAAAUUUUCCCUGUAAAAUCUGCUCAUGGGCCAUGCUCAGUCCGCCACGGCACUCUGGCUCAUGUCUUUCCCUUCCCUUCCCCUUCCCCGGUGCUACAUGGUAUCUCUCCUGACUCCACUGUGCUUCCCAAGCCCACUUCUCCUCCUCAUCAGCAGCUGACCCUUUGGGGUGAAAAAUGAGACUGGUGUAAAUAAUGGCUGGAUUUCGGGGCCUCCCCAGUGCUAGAUCCCUGACCCGCCGUUCCUAAGGCUGUAAGGCGAAGGCCUGGCUUGGUACGGCCUGGGGGUUUAGGGACGGGAAUAAAGCCACUGAUUGAGGCUCCGAAUGCCUUCCCCAAAGGAACUUGUCUUUCAUAGGCUCUCCUCACUCAUAUUUACCAUUUCCGGUGUCUAUUGGAUCCCUUCAUUUUGUCUGUAAGCUCUUCCCUAAAUAAAUCUACCUUUCGCCCAAGAGAA